Molecule: ribosomal RNA, 545 nt
Filed under: uncultured bacterium
Lineage: Bacteria
Description: bacterial SSU rRNA
Rfam family: Bacterial small subunit ribosomal RNA
Source: RNAcentral
GAGUUUGAUCAUGGCUCAGAACGAACGUUGGCGGCGUGGAUUAGGCAUGCAAGUCGAACGCGAAAGGCUUCUUCGGAAGCCGAGUAGAGUGGCGCACGGGUGAGUAAUGCAUGGAUAACCUGCCCCUGAGAGGGGGACAACUUCUCGAAAGGGAAGCUAAUACCCCAUAACGUCCGGUGUACCCAUGGCGCCGGAUCAAAGAUAGCCUCUGACUCAAGCCUUCGCUCAGGGAGGGGUUCAUGUCCUAUUAGCUGGUUGGUGAGGUAACGGCUCACCAAGGCGACGAUGGGUAGCCGGCCUGAGAGGGUGUCCGGCCACACUGGGACUGAGACACUGCCCAGACUCCUACGGGAGGCUGCAGUCGAGAAUCUUCCGCAAUGCGCGCAAGCGUGACGGAGCGACGCCGCGUGGGUGAUGAAGGCCUUCGGGUUGUAAAGCCCUGUUUCCCGCUAAGAAUGGCAGGCGGUGAAUAGCUGUCCUGCUUGACGUCAGCGGGGGAGGAAGCACCGGCUAAAUACGUGCCAGCAGCCGCGGUAAUACGUAUG